GCUGCAUCUUGUCGGGUUGCAUGCCGCUUUCGAUUUAGUCGGCAAUAUCUUUAUUUAUAUAUACAUAAAUCUACUUUAAUGUGUGUACAUUUUCGUUCAUGAAUUUGCUAAUUUGUGUUUAGGUUCCUUCUACAUUAAACUCUUCUUGUUACAGUUUAAUGGGCAAUUGUUCUGGCGCUGGAAUCGGAUCUUCGUUUCAGGCAAGAAGUGCUUUUAGCACUUAAAUUAAAUAAAUAUUAAGCAAAAUAUUACUUAGGCGCCAAGAAUGAAAAAAAACUUUUUUUAUGUAUUUUCUCACAUUACUUUUAUCAAUUUUUGUGACUUUUUUUAUUAGUUUCAUCGAACACCGAAGUCUUUGCACUGCACUCAGAAGCAAAACUGAAAUUCCCUCGCAAAAUCUGCCCAUGGACUUGCAACAUUUGAUGUCUGUGGGGCAUAAAUCAGCACAACCCACCGACAAAAGACUCAAGUAGCAAACUUACACCCGACAGUGCCAUAAAAAAUGGCAAAAUUAUACCAAAAACACACACAAAAUUAAGCCUGAAAAAUUGCUAUUAUUUUUCAAAAUAUUAUUGCACUUUAUAAGUUAUGCUGAAGAGCAACAAAUUGUUGGCCAAAGAAAAAAUACAAUAAACUAGAAAAUGGCAAGCAAAAACGCUCAAAAGUAAAUACAGAAAAAGGAGGAUAGAAAAUGUUUAACAAAUUAUGUGUAGGGGUAACGAAAUGUUUAAUAAAUUAUGUGUGGGCGGAGGAGUGGAAAAAGGUUGGGUUUUGAGUGCAGUUUUGCGUAUCCAAAGUGGCUAUUGCAUGGCCUUAAUGCCAGCUUACAACUUUAUUUCCUGGUGGAUGGUACACUUAUAAAGGCUAUUCGGGAUUUGUCAGGGAGCCAGGAGUCCCAAUGGUCCCUCUGGCAACAUGGAAGUUAGUGGCUUAGAUUAAAAGAAAUAUUUAACUAAAAUAAUGAUCAAUGUUUUCCCGAUGAAAAUCAAUAUAAAAAUAUUACAAAACAUUUUGGCAAGUGUAUCUAAGACUCUUCUUUUCCUCUUUCCUUUCUGUUACUAUUUUUAGUUAGUUAAAGAACGAUUGCUGCUUGAGCUGUGGCAAAGCGACAGCAGCGGAAAUUAAUGAGCAUAAUUAGCAACACGCAGGGGCAGGCAGGGAAAACCAAGAAAUAUCAUUGCAUGGUCGUUGGGCUGAACAUUUUUUGGUGUUGCGCAUUUUUAUUGCCACUUAGCCAAGGUUUUUUUGCAGAUGCUUUUUUCUGCAGUGUUAUUAGUUUUUGGAUUUUACUGCCAAUGCAUGUCUAUCGGCACAAUUAAAUUUGUUGCACUCGCUGCACAAAAUGCAUAAACAGUUGCCGUUUGCCACAACUCGAUGGCUCUGCUACUGCCACUGCCACUGCCACUGCCACUGCCUCUUGCAACUCGACGGUUGCCACUGCCUUUCUGUUCACAAAUUGACACGCAAAUUGUUCCAGGAGGAGUGCCAGCAUUUAACUUCAACGAGGCAGAAACCAAAAACCAAAGUAAUGUUUAAAAUGCUGUUCACUCUUUUCAUUGCUAAUUACAGUAAGUGCAAGGAGGAGAUAAGCGAUCAGCAGCAUUGAUAUCAAAUGCGAAAAACGUACAAAACUUAAUAAAGAACGGCAAUAAAUCAAAUAAAACUGAACUAAACGCAACAUUACAC
Molecule: long non-coding RNA, 1686 nt
Filed under: Drosophila guanche
Lineage: Eukaryota; Metazoa; Arthropoda; Insecta; Diptera; Drosophilidae
Source: RNAcentral